GCGGUUGAAGUCGUGGACGGAGCCCGACUCCCGUGGGAGUUUGGGUGGAGUCUUCCUACAAUUAAAGUCAGGUGCGAAGUCCGGCUCCCGUAGGAGUCCAGACGGAGCUUACCAGCAGUUGAAGUUGGCGACGGAGCCCGACUCCCGUAGGAGUCUGGGCGGAGUCCUCCUUGUGGUUGAAGUCAUAGACGGAGUCCGGCUCCCGUGGGAGUCCGGGUGGA
This 221-nucleotide long non-coding RNA is filed under the name Elaeis guineensis (African oil palm). RNAcentral describes it as "long non-coding RNA (EGUI_LNC076395)". Lineage: Eukaryota; Viridiplantae; Streptophyta; Magnoliopsida; Arecales; Arecaceae. The record is from RNAcentral.